GCUGGGCACGGUGGCGGGCGCCUGUAAUCCCAGCUACUCGGGAGACUGAGGCAGGAGAAUUGCUUGAACCCAGGAGGUGGAGUUUGCAGUGAGCCAAGAUCGUGCCACUGCACUCUAGCCUGGGUGACAGAGCAAGACCUUGCCUCAA
This is an unclassified non-coding RNA of Pongo abelii (Sumatran orangutan), 148 nucleotides long. It matches the Rfam family "Metazoan signal recognition particle RNA". From Rfam's summary of the family: The signal recognition particle (SRP) is a universally conserved ribonucleoprotein. It is involved in the co-translational targeting of proteins to membranes. Lineage: Eukaryota; Metazoa; Chordata; Mammalia; Primates; Hominidae. The record is from Ensembl.